CGCUGGCGGCAUGCUUUACACAUGCAAGUCGAACGGCAGCGCGGACUUCGGUCUGGCGGCGAGUGGCGAACGGGUGAGUAAUAUAUCGGAACGUACCCAAGAGUGGGGGAUAACGUAGCGAAAGUUACGCUAAUACCGCAUACGAUCUAAGGAUGAAAGUGGGGGAUCGCAAGACCUCAUGCUCCUGGAGCGGCCGAUAUCUGAUUAGCUAGUUGGUGAGGUAAAGGCUCACCAAGGCGACGAUCAGUAGCUGGUCUGAGAGGACGACCAGCCACACUGGAACUGAGACACGGUCCAGACUCCUACGGGAGGCAGCAGUGGGGAAUUUUGGACAAUGGGCGCAAGCCUGAUCCAGCAAUGCCGCGUGAGUGAAGAAGGCCUUCGGGUUGUAAAGCUCUUUUGUCAGGGAAGAAACGGUAGGAGCUAAUAUCUCUUGCUAAUGACGGUACCUGAAGAAUAAGCACCGGCU
This 469-nucleotide ribosomal RNA is filed under the name uncultured bacterium. Its description in RNAcentral is "bacterial SSU rRNA". It matches the Rfam family "Bacterial small subunit ribosomal RNA", at positions 34 to 498 of the family's 1533-position model. The record is from RNAcentral.